RNAcentral lists this ribosomal RNA (252 nucleotides) under uncultured bacterium. RNAcentral describes it as "partial 16S ribosomal RNA". It matches the Rfam family "Bacterial small subunit ribosomal RNA", at positions 524 to 776 of the family's 1533-position model. The record is from RNAcentral.
UACGUAGGGUGCGAGCGUUGUCCGGAAUUAUUGGGCGUAAAGGGCUCGUAGGCGGUUUGUCGCGUCGGGAGUGAAAACCCAGGGCUUAACUCUGGGCUUGCUUUCGAUACGGGCAGACUGGAGGUAUGCAGGGGAGAACGGAAUUCCUGGUGUAGCGGGUGAAAUGCGCAGAUAUCAGGAGGACAGCCGGUGGCGAAGGCGGUUCUCUGGGCAUGUCCUGCGUGAGGAGCGAAAGUGUGGGGAGCGAACAGG